CCUACGGGAGGCUGCAGUGAGGAAUAUUGGUCAAUGGACGCAAGUCUGAACCAGCCAUGCCGCGUGCAGGAAGACGGCUCUAUGAGUUGUAAACUGCUUUUGUACGAGGGUAAACGCAGAUACGUGUAUCUGUCUGAAAGUAUCGUACGAAUAAGGAUCGGCUAACUCCGUGCCAGCAGCCGCGGUAACACGGAGGGUUCAAGCGUUAUCCGGAUUUAUUGGGUUUAAAGGGUGCGUAGGGGGUCGGAUAAGUUAGAGGUGAAAACCCGGGGCUCAACUUCGGAAUUGCCUCUGAUACUGUUCGGCUAGAGAGUAGUUGCGGUAGGCGGAAUGUAUGGUGUAGCGGUGAAAUGCUUAGAGAUCAUACAGAACACCGAUUGCGAAGGCAGCUUACCAAGCUACUUCUGACGUUGAGGCACGAAAGCGUGGGGAGCAAACAGGAUUAGAUACCCCUGUAGUC
This 460-nucleotide ribosomal RNA is filed under the name uncultured bacterium. RNAcentral describes it as "partial 16S ribosomal RNA". It matches the Rfam family "Bacterial small subunit ribosomal RNA", at positions 338 to 795 of the family's 1533-position model. The record is from RNAcentral.